Molecule: ribosomal RNA, 116 nt
Filed under: Salmonella enterica
Lineage: Bacteria; Pseudomonadati; Pseudomonadota; Gammaproteobacteria; Enterobacterales; Enterobacteriaceae
Description: partial 23S ribosomal RNA
Rfam family: Bacterial large subunit ribosomal RNA (bases 1-104)
Source: RNAcentral
GUCUCCUGAAGGAACGUUGAAGACGACGACGUUGAUAGGCCGGGUGUGUAAGCGCAGCGAUGCGUUGAGCUAACCAGUACUAAUGAACCGUGAGGCUUAACCUUACAACGCCGAAG